UGAGGGAUAUUGGUCAAUGGGCGCAAGCCUGAACCAGCGACGCCGCGUGGGUGAAGAAGGUCUUCGGAUCGUAAAGCCCUUUUCCCACUGAAGAGGAAGGACGGUAGGUGGGGAAGAAGUCUCGGCUAACUACGUGCCGGCAGCCGCGGUAAAACGUAGGAGACAAGCGUUAUCCGGAGUUACUGGGCGUAAAGGGCGUGCAGGUGGCGUCUUAAGUCUGUUGUGAAAGCGCCUGGCUUAACCGGGCGAGGCCAAUGGAGACUGAGAGGCUGGAGGACGGCGGAGGGGUGUGGAAUUCCGGGUGUAGUGGUGAAAUGCGUAGAGAUCCGGAGGAACACCAGAGGCGAAGGCGGCACUCUAAGCCGUACCUGACACUGAGACGCGACAGCACGGGGAGCAAACG
RNAcentral lists this ribosomal RNA (403 nucleotides) under uncultured bacterium. RNAcentral's name for it is "bacterial SSU rRNA". It matches the Rfam family "Bacterial small subunit ribosomal RNA", at positions 355 to 774 of the family's 1533-position model. The record is from RNAcentral.